AGCGAACGCUGGCGGCAGGCCUAACACAUGCAAGUCGAACGAACCUUUCGGGGUUAGUGGCGGACGGGUGAGUAACACGUGGGAACGUGCCUUUAGGUUCGGAAUAACUCUGGGAAACUUGUGCUAAUACCGAAUGUGCCCUUCGGGGGAAAGAUUAAUCGCCUUUAGAGCGGCCCGCGUCUGAUUAGCUAGUUGGUUGAGGUAAUGGCUCACCAAGGCGACGAUCAGUAGCUGGUCUGAGAGGAUGAUCAGCCACAUUGGGACUGAGACACGGCCCAAACUCCUACGGGAGGCAGCAGUGGGGAAUCUUGCGCAAUGGGCGAAAGCCUGACGCAGCCAUGCCGCGUGAAUGAUGAAGGUCUUAGGAUUGUAAAAUUCUUUCACCGGGGACGAUAAUGACGGUACCCGGAGAAGAAGCCCCGGCUAACUUCGUG
Molecule: ribosomal RNA, 434 nt
Filed under: uncultured bacterium
Lineage: Bacteria
Description: partial 16S ribosomal RNA
Rfam family: Bacterial small subunit ribosomal RNA
Source: RNAcentral